RNAcentral lists this ribosomal RNA (546 nucleotides) under Limosilactobacillus fermentum. RNAcentral describes it as "bacterial SSU rRNA". It matches the Rfam family "Bacterial small subunit ribosomal RNA", at positions 28 to 562 of the family's 1533-position model. The record is from RNAcentral. Lineage: Bacteria; Bacillati; Bacillota; Bacilli; Lactobacillales; Lactobacillaceae.
GUCGAACGCGUUGGCCCAAUUGAUUGAUGGUGCUUGCACCUGAUUGAUUUUGGUCGCCAACGAGUGGCGGACGGGUGAGUAACACGUAGGUAACCUGCCCAGAAGCGGGGGACAACAUUUGGAAACAGAUGCUAAUACCGCAUAACAGCGUUGUUCGCAUGAACAACGCUUAAAAGAUGGCUUCUCGCUAUCACUUCUGGAUGGACCUGCGGUGCAUUAGCUUGUUGGUGGGGUAACGGCCUACCAAGGCGAUGAUGCAUAGCCGAGUUGAGAGACUGAUCGGCCACAAUGGGACUGAGACACGGCCCAUACUCCUACGGGAGGCAGCAGUAGGGAAUCUUCCACAAUGGGCGCAAGCCUGAUGGAGCAACACCGCGUGAGUGAAGAAGGGUUUCGGCUCGUAAAGCUCUGUUGUUAAAGAAGAACACGUAUGAGAGUAACUGUUCAUACGUUGACGGUAUUUAACCAGAAAGUCACGGCUAACUACGUGCCAGCAGCCGCGGUAAUACGUAGGUGGCAAGCGUUAUCCGGGAUUUAUUGGGCGUA